CCCGCACAGUGGCCGCUUCCUGGAACAUUUUCCUGCAUCCGAAACCGCGACUCUCUCCCCAGGGACCGGCUGAUCAAGGCCAGAUGGGAGCAGGGAUGGAGGAGGAGGGGAGCGAGCCAGGCCCUCACCAUCACCCCCUCCCAACCCAUGCACUCCAUGGGGAGCCCCUGCCCUGACACACAAACGCACACAACACAUGCCACAGUAACACGCCCAUGGGCAUUCAUGGUGACACUUCAUGAACCACAAGGGCCAGGUUUUAGAGGGAGACAUGCAAAGUCGUAUAAAUAAUUCCACAAACACCUAGGCAAACCUUCUCUAUCUACAUAGUCGCUUACCCCUCUAAAGUCUCCCCAGGCACUGGGUUUUCCUUGCCAGCUGAGGAGACCUUAAGAAUCCAAGAAUAUGGGGUAGGACAGCAGAGAGACUUUAGCUAAGAGAGGGUAAGGAGACAAACAGGCACACCUAAGACUGCCUGUGCCCUGCCAGAUAACACCUACCACUCCGUUCUGCUUCUGGAUGGCUCUCAAAACCUGGGGACCAGGGUGAAGGAAAUCUGGGAUGCCCGCCCUUGGUGCUGGCCUCAGAGCACUUUCUAGUUGCUUACAAAUUAUUCUUAGAGAAAAAGAAUGGUGUCCAGUGGGCUCAUUCAGCCAGAGGGCAAGAAUAGGCUGCUCCAGGGAGCUCUGGGAACCUGGGGACCUGUGGUCUCACUGGUGACAGCCCACCCUUCACUGCUCCCCCAGAUCCCUUCUAUCUCAGAGGGUAGUGAAAAGAAAAUGUGGGUGUUGUGUCUCCUCUUCUGCCCACUGCCUUUCAAACACAGAGGCCUAAUUCUUUCUUCUUUCUUUCUUUCUUUUUCAGGGAGCUAUUCUUACAUCUGGAAAUCUGGAAUGUUUGUCUUUUGCUGGGAAGGGUACAGAUUUGAACAUGGAUACGAUAUAAGACAGAGCAUUGGAAAAGCUGAAGGUGUACAAUGUAGUGAUUCAACAAUUCCACACAUCACCUGGUGCUCAUUACAGCAAGUACACGUCUUAAUCCCCAUCCCCUGUUUCACCCAUUCCCCCCACCUUCUGGUAACCACGUUUGUUCUCUAUAAUUAAGAGUCUUGUUUUUUGUUGUUUUUUUUUAAUUUGUCUUUCUCUCUUUUGAAACCCUUUGCUCUUUUGUUUUAUUUCUUAAAUUCCACCUAGGAAUGAAAUCCUGUGGUAUUUGUCUUUCUCUGACUUAUUCCACUUAGCAUUACGCUCUCCAGAUCCACCCACGUCCUUGCAAAUGGAUUUUUUUAAGACUUGAUUUUUGUAAGUAAUCUCUAUACCCAAUGUGGGACUUGAACUCAAAACCCUGAGAUCAAGAGAGAUCAAGAGUCGCAUGCUUCACUGACAUGUAUGUGUAUAUAUAUACAUGUAUGUGUGCACCUAUUAUUUUUGUAUUUUUUUUUUAAGUAGGCUCCCUGAGCAAUGUGGGACUUGAACUCACAACCCAAGACCAAGGGUCACAUCUUCUGACUGAGCCAGCCAGGAAUCCCUCAUUGCAAGUAGAUUUUAACAAAGAAUUGGUAUCUAAUGUACAUAAAGAACUUUUUUUUUUUUUAAGAUUUUGUUUAUUUAUUUGACAGACGGAGAUCACAAGCAGGCAGAGAGAGAGAGAGAGAGGAGGAAGCAGGCUCCCUGCUAAGUAGAGAGCCCGACUCGGGGCUCGAUCCCAGGACACUGGGAUCAUGACCUGAGCUGAAGGCAGAGGCUUUAACCCACUGAGCCACCCAGGCACCCCCAUAAAGAACUUCUUUAAGUCAAACAUUUCAGUAGAAAAAUGGACAAAGCAAAUAAAAGGAGAGAAAAAAAUACAAAUGGACAAUAACAGAAGAGAUAAUUGUCCUUAUAAAUUUUGGUAAAUCAGGAAAAAACAAAUAGAUUAUGGAAGUACCGGACUCACAAUUUUUAAAAUUGGUGAGAAUUUGGGAAACAAUCACUUUCACAGUGCAGGUAUGAAUGUAACUGGAAAUAUUUGAGGGAGUUUUUUUUUUUUNNNNNNNNNNNNNNNNNNNNNNNNNNNNNNNNNNNNNNNNNNNNNNNNNNNNNN
Long non-coding RNA from Mustela putorius furo (domestic ferret), 2082 nucleotides. Lineage: Eukaryota; Metazoa; Chordata; Mammalia; Carnivora; Mustelidae. The record is from Ensembl.